Molecule: unclassified non-coding RNA, 331 nt
Filed under: uncultured fungus
Lineage: Eukaryota; Fungi
Description: partial contains small subunit ribosomal RNA, internal transcribed spacer 1, and 5.8S ribosomal RNA
Rfam family: Eukaryotic small subunit ribosomal RNA (bases 1-73)
Source: RNAcentral
UCAAACUUGGUCAUUUAGAGGAAGUAAAAGUCGUAACAAGGUUUCCGUAGGUGAACCUGCGGAAGGAUCAUUACUGAAUAAAACUUGGUUGGGCUGUUGCUGGCUCUUAGGAGCAUGUGCACGCCUACUCCAUUUCAACCACCUGUGCAUCUUUGUAGAUCUGAAUACUGAGAAUUGCUAUUGCUGGCUUUUCUCUUGUUUGGGUCUAUGUUUUUUAUAUACUCCAUACGAAUGUAUCAGAAUGUUGUGGUUAGGCCCCUGUGCCUAUAAAGCAAUCUAUACAACUUUCAACAACGGAUCUCUUGGCUCUCGCAUCGAUGAAGAACGCAGC